CUUCUCGCAUCGUGACAGUCCCACCAGCUGUUCCUCCAUCCAGUGGCCUUCCUCACUCACCCUCUGUAUGGGCUGUCUUCACUGAUGCAUGCUCGGUAGGAGGAUGCCAAGUCUAUUUCUAAAAACAUGCUAUAAAAUACAUCGUGGCCUUCUUCUUCAAAUCAACAUGGAGCUUCCUCAAGAACCUGCCCUAAAAUCAGUUGCAGCCAUGCCGACGACCAACCAAGGCUGGCCAGAGGCGUUUGGCUUCUCUCUGGGUGGCAGCGGGCCCUGCUACGUGCUGUGGGUGCAGGAGGGCAGCAGUGCAGCAGCGGCAGGGCUGCGACCGGGCGACGAGGUGCUGGAGC
This 347-nucleotide long non-coding RNA is filed under the name Gallus gallus (chicken). RNAcentral describes it as "lncRNA (ENSGALG00010022703.1)". The record is from RNAcentral. Lineage: Eukaryota; Metazoa; Chordata; Aves; Galliformes; Phasianidae.